RNAcentral lists this ribosomal RNA (511 nucleotides) under Norops dariense. RNAcentral describes it as "partial large subunit ribosomal RNA". It matches the Rfam family "Bacterial large subunit ribosomal RNA", at positions 1855 to 2616 of the family's 2925-position model. The record is from RNAcentral. Lineage: Eukaryota; Metazoa; Chordata; Lepidosauria; Squamata; Dactyloidae.
ACGCCUGCCAGUGAAAAUUAAACGGCCGCGGUAUCCUAACCGUGCAAAGGUAGCGUAAUCACUUGUCUUAUAAAUGAAGACCCGUAUGAAUGGCUAAAUGAAUAUUUAACUGUCUCCUUUAACUAAUCAGUGAAACUGAUCUUUCAGUACAAAAGCUGAAAUAAGUUAAUAAGACGAGAAGACCCCGUGGAGCUUUAAAUUAUAAACAAAGCAUAAUAAAAACAUGCCUAUGAUAAAAAUUUUUAGUUGGGGCGACUUUGGAGUAAAACUAAACCUCCAAAAACAAGGCACCGCCUAACUGAGGCUAACGGGCCAAACCAUAGAGACCCAGUAUAUUUACUGAUCAACGAACCAAGUUACCCCAGGGAUAACAGCGCCAUCUUCUUCAAGAGUUCCUAUCGACAAGAAGGUUUACGACCUCGAUGUUGGAUCAGGACACCCUAAUGGUGCAGCUGCUAUUAAGGGUUCGUUUGUUCAACGAUUAACAGUCCUACGUGAUCUGAGUUCAGAC